RNAcentral lists this ribosomal RNA (235 nucleotides) under uncultured bacterium. RNAcentral's name for it is "partial 16S ribosomal RNA". It matches the Rfam family "Bacterial small subunit ribosomal RNA", at positions 102 to 334 of the family's 1533-position model. The record is from RNAcentral.
CACGGGUGAGUAACACGUAUCCAACCUGCCGUCUACUCUUGGCCAGCCUUCUGAAAGGAAGAUUAAUCCAGGAUGGCAUCAUGAGUUCACAUGUCCGCAUGAUUAAAGGUAUUUUCCGGUAGACGAUGGGGAUGCGUUCCAUUAGAUAGUAGGCGGGGUAACGGCCCACCUAGUCAACGAUGGAUAGGGGUUCUGAGAGGAAGGUCCCCCACAUUGGAACUGAGACACAGUCCAA